RNAcentral lists this ribosomal RNA (936 nucleotides) under Cellulomonas sp. URHB0039. Its description in RNAcentral is "bacterial SSU rRNA". It matches the Rfam family "Bacterial small subunit ribosomal RNA", at positions 56 to 1002 of the family's 1533-position model. The record is from RNAcentral. Lineage: Bacteria; Bacillati; Actinomycetota; Actinomycetes; Micrococcales; Cellulomonadaceae.
UGCAGUCGAACGGUGAUGGCCAGCUUGCUGGUCUGAUCAGUGGCGAACGGGUGAGUAACACGUGAGCAACCUGCCCUUCACUCUGGGAUAACCACGGGAAACGGUGGCUAAUACCGGAUAUGAGACGUACCUGCAUGGGUGGCGUCUGGAAAGAUUUAUCGGUGGGGGAUGGGCUCGCGGCCUAUCAGCUUGUUGGUGGGGUAAUGGCCUACCAAGGCGACGACGGGUAGCCGGCCUGAGAGGGCGACCGGCCACACUGGGACUGAGACACGGCCCAGACUCCUACGGGAGGCAGCAGUGGGGAAUAUUGCACAAUGGGCGCAAGCCUGAUGCAGCGACGCCGCGUGAGGGAUGACGGCCUUCGGGUUGUAAACCUCUUUCAGCAGGGAAGAAGCGAAAGUGACGGUACCUGCAGAAGAAGCGCCGGCUAACUACGUGCCAGCAGCCGCGGUAAUACGUAGGGCGCAAGCGUUGUCCGGAAUUAUUGGGCGUAAAGAGCUCGUAGGCGGUUUGUCGCGUCUGCUGUGAAAACCUGAGGCUCAACCUCGGGCUUGCAGUGGGUACGGGCAGACUAGAGUGCGGUAGGGGUGACUGGAAUUCCUGGUGUAGCGGUGGAAUGCGCAGAUAUCAGGAGGAACACCGAUGGCGAAGGCAGGUCACUGGGCCGCAACUGACGCUGAGGAGCGAAAGCAUGGGGAGCGAACAGGAUUAGAUACCCUGGUAGUCCAUGCCGUAAACGUUGGGCACUAGGUGUGGGGCUCAUUCCACGAGUUCCGUGCCGCAGCAAACGCAUUAAGUGCCCCGCCUGGGGAGUACGGCCGCAAGGCUAAAACUCAAAGAAAUUGACGGGGGCCCGCACAAGCGGCGGANCAUGCGGAUUAAUUCGAUGCAACGCGAANAACCUUACCAAGGCUUGACAUACACCGGAAACUUCCA